Molecule: long non-coding RNA, 866 nt
Organism: Mya arenaria
Lineage: Eukaryota; Metazoa; Mollusca; Bivalvia; Myida; Myidae
Exons: 3
Source: RefSeq, a predicted model, not a curated record
ACAGUCAUUCUCUGUCUAAUCAGGAACUGGAUGAUGCGUGUGGGCAGAAAUGCAGAGUGUAACACCUGUCAAAAAAGCCACCUAUUCCUUCAAUGAAGAGAUACGUGUGUGGACAGUGACUGUAGUUUCCAGAAUAGAACUCACCUGUUACCUUAGGAACUUCAGAUACUUCCAAGGGUGUAGUACCGGUGCACCAGGCCGGUUUUCCAGCUGAGUGAAUCCAAUCAACAUUUCCAGCUAAACUAGGGCCAGGAAUAAUAUUAGACUCCUUAUCAAAAUGGGUUGAAAAUCAAGGAGCUGUGAUGUACAAUAGAGGUACGCUCAAACGCGGAGGAAAUGUUCAACCCUGACCUGACCCAGUGGCCAAUGAUACUGCGAUUGGCAAGGAAGUCUUAUUCAGGCCAAAUGCUGCACUGGCAGAGAGCAGGGAAUGUCUCCAGGAUGGAUACAUGAGGACAGAAGAGUGGAUGAACAACAGCUAGGCAGGAACAGUAUUCUGUAUAAGAGAGAAGACACCAAAUGAUUACACUGUCAGUCAGCAUCAUCUUAAGCUGAUUGUUUGUAGACAUUUCUAACAAUUUUUGUACUACUAUCACUAUGUGAAUGAGACAUAAGUUUCAAAAUUAAUUGUUCAUUUUUUCUGCCAUAAAAUUAUUAGAUGUUUUUUUUUUAUUUUCUAUUCAUUUCAUAAUUCUGUUAAUUUAUUUUAUUAUUUCGGGAAUAAGACAAUCAAUUAUGCGUUCAUGCUUUUGACUUUUUUUUAAUAAUUUCCCCCCUGCUCCCUUGCCGAAAAGGAAAGAGGAUUAUAUUUAUGUUGUGUGUGUGUGUGUGUGUGUGUGUGUGUGUGUGUGUGUGUCAGAGCAAUC